Non-coding RNA from Gasterosteus aculeatus aculeatus (three-spined stickleback), 391 nucleotides. The record is from RefSeq and is a predicted model, not a curated record. NCBI's taxonomy places the organism in Eukaryota, Metazoa, Chordata, Actinopteri, Perciformes, Gasterosteidae.
AGUCCGUCCCUCUGAACUCCUCUGUGUGGGGAACAUGACAUGAGGAUCCACCAGAGACCAGGACCUGGACCUGAACCCCGCUGUGUGAACAUGGAGCGUAUACGGUCUACGAGUCCUCCUCUAGACUUCAAAGAUGGUCCCUCUGUUGAUGCAAGGUCCCAUCAGCAGAGAGGAAAGUCUCCUGAACCCACAUGUGUGUCCAUGAAGAGUGAUCGGUCUAAUGAGCGAUGGAUUGAUUUCAAAGAUGAACGCCGUUCUUAUGACCCAGAGUAAGUUCUUAACAAAUGAAGAACUGUUCAGAUCCUCAGUUAUGGAUCCCAGAAAUAGUUGUGCAUUGUUUAACGUGUUGUUUCCAUGACGAUCCUUCAUGACAACUCAUUGUCUUCAUCUA